GUUAUCUCGGUAGUAGGUGUAGUUUUGACACACUUCGUGUACAGUGUCCUUUUUCUUUGCUUUGCACUGUUGAAGAAAACGAAGGUCACCAACUGUCCAGUAAAAGUCCUUGUUCCCACAGAGACAGUUCUUCAUAGCCCGUUGAGCCGCCACCAUUGCAGCACUGUGAUCAAUGCCGAGGUCAGGAGCGGGGGCUGUGUCCAUGGCCAGCUCGCCGUCUUCGAGUUCCUCCUUGGCGCCCUCCUCCAGCAUCACGCCCGUGUCAACCUUUACCACGCGCAUGUCCAGCACGCCGUCGAUCCACGCCAACUCGGUGUCUUUGGCCUUGCAGAACUGCAGCCAUUUGGUGCUCACCUAGUUGCAACGCUCCAAGUCAUCAUGGUAAAGAAAGCCCAUUGGGAUGAACUGUGGCUCAUUUGCAUGAUACAGAACAUCACCCCCCUCCUCAAAUAAUUGUAAUAAUAUAAUUUCAAGUGGAGUCUAACAAGUGGAUGUUAAAUGUGCUGUGAUUCUCUAUAUUUGUUGUAUUUUGACCGAAAAGACUUUAUUUAGACACCUAGAAACUGUUUUCAAUGGUAAAUAAAAUGCAGUGUCUGCUUUAUAAAUCAA
Molecule: long non-coding RNA, 609 nt
Organism: Phyllopteryx taeniolatus (common seadragon)
Lineage: Eukaryota; Metazoa; Chordata; Actinopteri; Syngnathiformes; Syngnathidae
Exons: 3
Source: RefSeq, a predicted model, not a curated record